This 25-nucleotide microRNA is filed under the name Pristionchus pacificus. RNAcentral describes it as "ppc-miR-2235b-5p". The record is from miRBase by way of RNAcentral. Lineage: Eukaryota; Metazoa; Nematoda; Chromadorea; Rhabditida; Neodiplogasteridae.
CCAUCCAAUUCUGUCCGGUCUGAAC